GUUAGUUUUGUGACAAGCAAGAGAAAAUACCACAGUGGGAAGGACACUUCUGUUCUAAGCGUUGUUGAAGAAAAACAAGAGCACACCAAAAACUCCUCUGAAGAAUGUAAAGCCUCAUUGAACAGCUUACAGAUGAAAUUCUUUACUCAACAAAUAGGUGUCAUUAUAAGGACUCCUACAUUUCAUAUUCUUGGCUAGCUUGUUAUGAUAGUGUUGUGUCUGUUUGAUUUAUGACAGAUUAUUUCUUCCUGUAAUGUCUAGCAAUCACUGGCACAUUUCUUCUCCAGGUAUCCACCCGAUUUAGCACAUUUAUAAAGCUUAGAAGAACAACCACAGCUCUCAAAUUGCCUGUUGAGAUGCGGCAUGAUGAAAACAAGGCAUGACACAGUGAUAUGUGAGGGACAAUAGGGGAGAUGGCUUCACUGAUCUCUUAGCUCUUAUUUCCUACAGCCCUAAAUCACAUAUGACGUGAAAGAAAUGCUUUGUGCACCAUAUGGUGACCUGAGGAUUGGAAUACCAUCUUCCUCCAAGAGCAGCAGCUGUCAACUUGUCACUUGUUGAAGAAAACCAAGACAAGCAAUUUUAGCCAGCUUAAAUUCACUGUGCAGGAGCUGCAUCAGUGCUGAGUCCACAAAUGGAAAAAGAAAAACCAGUCAGAACUCACUGUCCUAGGGACAUCUUCAAGUUAGAAGUCUUUGGUUUCUAUGUCUAGUAUUAUACUAGACAUAGAAUACCCCACUGAAAACCAGUUGCUUCAUGAUCUCAGCGUGUCUCCUAAUAAAAGAAUGGGAGCUGAGAAUUGAGCCUUCUUAAGUCCAUAGAUGCUGGAACUCAGUACAUUCAUUGCUAGAGGUCAUUUUGCUGAAGAGUUUCCCUCUUGUUCAUCCUUACCAGCAAGCUCUUAGCAGACCCCCUCACACCCAGCCUUCCCCAUGGCCUCCCAGGAAUAACCCUGUGUCACUUGGAAUCUACUCAGCCUUUUCUGAUUUCUGUACUAAUCAGAGACAGAGACUGACCUCCCUGUACAGAGGGACUGACAUAGGUACCUCUCAUCAGGGUAUGACCGUGCUGUAUCCAGCUGCUGAACAGAUGGGUCUGAAACAAUAUCCCUGGGCAUGGGAUUCAGGCUGCUCAGCCAAAGCUCCCUGCAUUUACCUAAUUGCCAUCAAGGUUUAGCACUGGUACAUUUCCAAGUGUGGUCGCUUGUCCCCUGACAACUGGACUGAGACCACUGGAGUUGUCAGCUAAAUUACCUUGAAGUGAUUUAAAACACUACAACCCAGACCCCAUGAUGCACACAGCUCCCAUUUCCUUUUGUAUUUCUUUAAUAGAAAAGUAACAGGAAAAGCAAUUACUGGCCAUAUGAAAUGUCAGUUCAUACAGUAUUUCCUACAAGACUUCAAGCAACUCCUUGUUAAAGCAGAUAAGUUAAUCUGUCUUUUGGUUCAGGUCACAGUAGGUUUUCAGCUUUAAAUCACUGUGGCUCAGUAACUAAUGGCAUUUGCCAUACAAAUGAUGCUGAAAAAACAAGGAAUCUGGGUAAUUAUUAGGUGUAUAUUUCCGGUGAAAACAAUCCACGUGAAGACAGUGUCAGAGAAAAGGGUGAUUGAUCAUCUGGAUUCUGCUCCCUUGUGUUUUCCUGUGCACUUUCUCUGCACUGUAGUCUUAACUGUCAGGCAGUUACUGUAAUGAAGUCUGGUAGUGGGCUUUUCAGCCUGAGGAGCUGUGUUACUCUCAGGAGGGGCUCAACAGGGCAUUGUACCCGUGGAGGCUGAAGCUGCACAGCAAGAGGAGCACAGCCCCUUCGGGCAUUCAGCUUUCAGAAAGAGCAGGGUGUGGUAUUUAGAAAGGCUCCAAAAUUGGCAGAAAGAGAAAGGCAAAUACUCUUCUGAACUGGAGACCGCCCUAACACAGGCAUCUGCAGCCCAGCCUCAACUCGUGCUCCUGCCAGUUCUCUCAAGCAUGACCUGGUUUGAGGACCACCUUCAAUGAGAUCAAAAGGGCAUAAUGCUGCUAUCAUGUCUCACAGACCUUAAGUCCACUAUGCAUCAUGGCAGAUGUCAACCUCCAGGAAACAGCCUGCAGGAAAGGGGAGCCAUCUAAACCACAACCCCAGUGAGGCAGUGUCCUU
This is a long non-coding RNA of Pezoporus flaviventris, 2131 nucleotides long. RefSeq lists it as uncharacterized. Lineage: Eukaryota; Metazoa; Chordata; Aves; Psittaciformes; Psittacidae. The record is from RefSeq and is a predicted model, not a curated record. The transcript is spliced from 3 exons.